AUACGGAGGGUGCGAGCGUUAAUCGGAAUUACUGGGCGUAAAGCGCACGUAGGCGGCUUGUUAAGCAAGAUGUGAAAGCCCAGGGCUCAACCUUGGAAUUGCAUUUUGAACUGGCAAGCUAGAGUUUUGAAGAGGGUGGUAGAAUUUCCAGUGUAGCGGUGAAAUGCGUAGAUAUUGGAAGGAAUACCAGUGGCGAAGGCGGCCACCUGGUCAAAAACUGACGCUGAGGAGCGAAAGCGUGGGGAGCAAACAGGAUUAGAUACCCUGGUAGUCCACGCAGUAAACGAUGAUAACUAACCGCUGGGUCGUAGUGAUUCAGUGGCCAAGCGAAAGCGAUAAGUUAUCCACCUGGGGAGUACGACCGCAAGGUUGAAACUCAAAUGAAUUGACGGGG
This 394-nucleotide ribosomal RNA is filed under the name uncultured bacterium. RNAcentral describes it as "partial 16S ribosomal RNA". It matches the Rfam family "Bacterial small subunit ribosomal RNA", at positions 523 to 918 of the family's 1533-position model. The record is from RNAcentral.